ACACACCCCACUAAAGCUUCCUUCUGAAGGAAUGUGCAUGAAAUUCCUGUAUUGCAAAGGGGUAACGGAUUUACUUUUGAGUAAACCUAAAUGAGCCACAGAAGCAGAGGGGCCACCUUGUUCAUUGCAUUUGAAUGGAGGGGAGACUUUUUUAGAGCAGUUCAUUUCAUUUCAUUUCUUUUUUUUAAAGUUAGAUCGAUAACCCAACUUCCCCCCAUUCCGCUCAAGAAAGUGGCUCUCUUCUUCCCUUCUUUUUUGGCACAACGGUCCUGCAAGGUAGGCCAAGCCAAGAGAGGGUGGGUGGGUGGCUGGCUGGCUGUUCCACCCAGCAUGUGUGGUGUGAUUCACCAGCUGAGAGGAAUCCUGCCUGCUGACCUUGUCAAAGCAAAGGAGAGUUUCCUGGGCAGAGUUUUCAGGAUUCCUGGAGGGAAAGCUUCUGUUGAAAGGCUGCCAGAUGGCCCCCAUCAAGCAAAGGAAGCUCAGGAUGAGACCAUCUGGGGAGAAAAGGAUUUCUCACUUUGGGGUUUACCCUAUGCUGCUCAUUCCGCUGUACGCCCUGAUGUUCCUCUUGGUUCUGGGGCUUGAGAAAAGUGCGGGGGAAUUGCGUGGACCGGAUGGGGCGGGGGCCUUGGGCAGCAUUUUCCCAACCAGCCUGGAAGAAUCCGACACGGAGAGGUGCAUGGGUGGGGAUCGCUGGUUGUCUCCUUGUCCGGCGGAACACCCCACCACCAGACUUGCCCAAGGAAGAUGGUCCACCAGCCAAGCCCUGGGGGCCAACUUCAGCGACAGCCAGAAGGCCAACACCCUCCAGCCCCGCUCCGAAGGCACAGUUCAGCUGAGUUUCAUCUGCCUUCUCCUCCUGGGAAUCGGGGCGGCCCUCUUUUUCGUCUGUUUUGCUUGCCGGGUCGCUUUCUGUUUCUGGAACCAGCUGAGGCUGCGGGGCCCCGUGCAAAUCCUGAAUGAGCAGCUACAGCUGGGCCAGUUGGAACAUGUUCCCCAUAUGGCGCUGGAUCCCACCGCUGCCACCACCACCAGUUCUCUUCCCCCUGUGGGCACUGACUCUGCGCAGGAGGUGCUUGUAUGAAGAAGACUGGCAAUGAAAUCUUGAGUUCCAACCCUUUGCCCCCAAGACUGGAAGCUACGGCGAGAUCAUCAAUUUUUGAAUCACUCCAUCAUCUCCCCCAGGAACAUGGUGGAACACCCACAUUUUGCUUGAUCCUUGCAUCUUAUUCUUUCACCUUGAACUGCACAUCUAUGUCUGAAAUGCUUUGCCUUGAGGCAGGAAUGCACCCUGACGACCAGCACUCUGUGAGUUCUUUAUUUCUGAGGUUUCUCAGCAGAAGGAACGCAGUGUAUCUCCAAGAAAUCAUUUAUGGGGCCGCCCAAGCCAUUGGUCAGAGGGGAGAAACCGAGAUCCAGACAUUGCCAGAAAGCUGUGUUGAAAUCCAACAAGCUUCAGCAUUUCAGGACCACACUGUUAGCUUUUAAUUAUUUAGAAAGACAAUUAGACAAAGCUCUCCCCUCAUGCCCUGACAGACCUCUUCAACGGCCAGUCAAGAUCCAGAAGUAUUGAGCUGCUCCGUUGAAUCCUCAGUUAAGCUUUGUAACUCAGGGCAGGAGAGGAAUCUAGGGAAUUGUCUUAUCGACACAAAAAUUAUAUUAUGUGUGACUCUUCAUUUCCAUAGCUUCUGGAAGAUUGUACCGGAAGGUACCCUGAAGCUUUUUAAGGAUGACAUUUCUGCAACCCGUUAAACUCAGAAGAGGCAGAUCCAGUCCGGAGCCCAGGCUGUGCUUCCAGAAUGAACUUUUCCCCCCUGGGAUGCUAGAAGCAGGGGCUUGCUAAACACAUGUUUUCAAUGUAUGGCUCUUUAUUACCAAUAAAGUGUGGACGUGUAGCA
RNAcentral lists this long non-coding RNA (1898 nucleotides) under Pogona vitticeps (central bearded dragon). RNAcentral's name for it is "lncRNA (ENSPVIG00000005615.1)". The record is from RNAcentral. Lineage: Eukaryota; Metazoa; Chordata; Lepidosauria; Squamata; Agamidae.